GGGGGCGCAAUGGUUUCGACGGGAUUGUUGAGACUUAAGUAGCGGGUAGAGGAUUCUCGUAGGCCUCUUAAAAAAACGGGAAACUAAAAUUAAACGCUAAAAACGAUAAUUUAGCUUUAGCUGCCUAGGCAGCUAACGUCUAGCCCAGGUUCCUGCACCUGGGGGCCUAGGCGUCGAUAAGUCAGGCCUUUUGCAUAGGAAGGUUAAAUGCUAGAACUGCUGUGGUGGUAGCCUUGAGCUGCAGCGGAACUUAAAGGCUACGGUAGAGCAAACCCUGCCCUUGGGGGAUGUUCGUCAGGAAUGCUAAAUUGAGGGAUACACCCGUAGAGGCUUUUGUGGAUAUGGUUUCGGACAGGGGUUCGACUCCCCUCGCCUCCACCA
Molecule: transfer-messenger RNA, 381 nt
Filed under: Bacillota bacterium
Lineage: Bacteria; Bacillati; Bacillota
Rfam family: transfer-messenger RNA
About the family: Bacterial tmRNA, also known as 10Sa RNA or SsrA, is named for its dual tRNA and mRNA-like properties. Its role is to liberate the mRNA from a stalled ribosome. To accomplish this part of the tmRNA is used as a reading frame that ends in a translation stop signal.
Source: RNAcentral